UCCCUGGUGGCUCAGAUAGUAAAGCGUCUGCCUGCAAUGCAGGAGACCCAGGUUCAAUCCCUGGGUCGGGAA
Molecule: transfer RNA, 72 nt
Filed under: Bos taurus (domestic cattle)
Lineage: Eukaryota; Metazoa; Chordata; Mammalia; Artiodactyla; Bovidae
Also listed under: 5 other names
Rfam family: tRNA
About the family: Transfer RNA (tRNA) molecules are approximately 80 nucleotides in length. Their secondary structure includes four short double-helical elements and three loops (D, anti-codon, and T loops).
Source: Rfam by way of RNAcentral